GAGUUUGAUCCUGGCUCAGGAUGAACGCUGGCGGCGUGCUUAACACAUGCAAGUCGAGCGAUGAAGUUUCCUUCGGGAAACGGAUUAGCGGCGGACGGGUGAGUAACACGUGGGUAACCUGCCUCAUAGAGUGGAAUAGCCUUCCGAAAGGAAGAUUAAUACCGCAUAAUGUUGAAAGUUGGCAUCAUUAUUCAACCAAAGGAGCAAUCCGCUAUGAGAUGGACCCGCGGCGCAUUAGCUAGUUGGUGGGGUAACGGCCUACCAAGGCGACGAUGCGUAGCCGACCUGAGAGGGUGAUCGGCCACAUUGGGACUGAGACACGGCCCAGACUCCUACGGGAGGCGGCAGUGGGGAAUAUUGCACAAUGGGGGAAACCCUGAUGCAGCAACGCCGCGUGAGUGAUGAAGGUUUUCGGAUCGUAAAGCUCUGUCUUUGAGGAAGAUAAUGACGGUACCCAAGGAGGAAGCCACGGCUAACUACGUGCCAGCAGCCGCGGUAAUACGUAGGUGGCGAGCGUUAUCCGGAUUUACUGGGCGUAAAGGGAGCGUAGGCGGAUGAUUAAGUGGGAUGUGAAAUACCCGGGCUCAACUUGGGUGCUGCAUUCCAAACUGGUUAUCUAGAGUGCAGGAGAGGAGAGUGGAAUUCCUAGUGUAGCGGUGAAAUGCGUAGA
This 670-nucleotide ribosomal RNA is filed under the name uncultured bacterium. RNAcentral describes it as "bacterial SSU rRNA". It matches the Rfam family "Bacterial small subunit ribosomal RNA", at positions 9 to 694 of the family's 1533-position model. The record is from RNAcentral.